CUCAUCACCAAUGGCAGCUUGGGGGCGGCGGCGGAAAGCGAAACCCGCUCCGGCGCCGCCGCCGCCGCCGCGUCAAAACACAGCCCGGGCCUGCGCGGCGCAUGCGCGGAGCGAGGGCGCCCGACCCCGCCCCCCCUCGAGGGCGGGGCUUCGCGCGGUCGGCCGGAGCCCGGCCCUUCCCCCACCGCCCCCGGGGUUCCUGGCGUGAGAGCUACGAGACCCCCGGGGCAGAAGUCACCAGCCUCGCCAGGACUCGUUACUAUUAAACGCUGAGGGGGGACGACAGGGGGGCACUAGCUUAAUGUUUGCCCCUUACUUACCAAGAAAGCGCGGUAACUAGCUCGGUCUCAUUUAAACCUCACCAAACUCUGCGAAAACUUACUAAAAUUGUGUCUAGGGUGUAGAUAAAGGAACUGGGUGACACGGACGUGAGGUGACUCUACCUCCGGUUGCACAGCGAGGAAAUAACAGCACGAGGAUUCGAAUGGAAUCCAAAGCCAGAGCCCACCCCGCAUCCUCGACAGCCUCCAGAGAGUCUGCUCCAAACGUGGGAUAAACGGGGACCACCCGAGAGAGCGGCCGCGUGAACUCUCACCAAACCGAGCGGUUUCUCUGCGGCGGCUGCCUCUCCCCUUCCCGCUCCCCGCAAUCGGGAGGGAAACCCCGCUCAGACGCCCUCUGAGCUGCGGAGACAGAACACCCGAGCCCGAGGCGGCCGGUUGCCCCGUUCCACGCUCGGGCCUCCCCGCGAGCGUCCCUCCGUUCCAGAGCGGAACCUGCGACAUCCCCCCGCGCCAAACCGCCGUCCGCAGGCUCUCCUCGGCGGGGCUCUAGGACAGCACAACCGCCCGCGGAGCCUGGCCGACUGGCAGGCACACCGUGCGGGGGCCCCUUCUCAGACGGACCCUUCACAGCCAAGGCUGGCGCGUCCUCGGACUCCCGUGCCCUGAGGAAGGCUCCCGAUCGGGGCUCCCCACGACUCGGCACUGUUACACGGACGCGGGUGUGUUCGCGUUCCCUUGUCAAAGACGAACGUGCGGACGUCUGUUUAUGUUGUGUGCGAUCAGAUGCGGGGGACACGGCAAUGCUUCCAAGUCAGACGCCGGGGAAUGUUUAAAACGUGGACUCUUUCCAAAUAAACUUGGGCGCACGCAGGACGGCACGUUACCCCGCCUGAACACCGCGCUGCAACUGGACGAAGACCGCCCCUCUCUCUAGGCGGCAAAAAAGCCACUUUUAACGUAUUUUCUCGUUCAUCUCGUCGCCUCCCUGAAAGGCGGGCUGGGCCCGAUCACGUGACCGCACCGGCUCCGGGCGGAAGCGGCCGCCGGGCUGCGCUCCGGAAGGCGAGGGGGCGGGCCGCUGCCCGGCUGAAAGAUGGCCGCCGCCGCCCGGCCGCCGCCGCCGCCCCGCGGGCUCCUCUAGGGCCCGCCGCCGCCGUGCCCGCCGCCCGCCGCCUGCCGCCGCCGCCGCCGCCUUACCAUGAGGCCGCUGAGUCGCCGCACGCUGGACUGGAUUUACUCGGCGCUGCUCCUCGCGAUUGUGUUGCUGUCCUGGGGGUACGUCAUCUAUGCAUCGACAGUGGCUGCGCGACGACAGCUAAGGAAGGAAUACCCAGACAAAACCUUCGGAUGAAUGAAAAUUUGUAAUUCCUCUGGAUAUAAUUCUCUGCAAAUACAGUUCUUUUACCGCAUGCUUAUCUCACACGUCUCUAGAUGUAAAAUCCUUAAUACAAAGUUGGCAAAUUUA
Long non-coding RNA from Equus quagga, 1749 nucleotides. RefSeq lists it as uncharacterized. NCBI's taxonomy places the organism in Eukaryota, Metazoa, Chordata, Mammalia, Perissodactyla, Equidae. The record is from RefSeq and is a predicted model, not a curated record. The transcript has 2 exons.